This 508-nucleotide ribosomal RNA is filed under the name uncultured Glomus. RNAcentral describes it as "SSU rRNA". It matches the Rfam family "Eukaryotic small subunit ribosomal RNA", at positions 569 to 1078 of the family's 1831-position model. Lineage: Eukaryota; Fungi; Glomeromycota; Glomeromycetes; Glomerales; Glomeraceae. The record is from RNAcentral.
AGCAGCCGCGGUAAUUCCAGCUCCAAUAGCGUAUAUUAAAGUUGUUGCAGUUAAAAAGCUCGUAGUUGAAUUUCGGGGUUAGUAGGCUGGUCGUGCCACUGGUAUGUACUGGUCUUACUGACUUCUCCUUUCUGAAGAACUGUAAUGCCAUUAAUUUGGUGUUGCAGGGAAUCAGGACUGUUACUUUGAAAAAAUUAGAGUGUUUAAAGCAGGCUAACGCUUGAAUACAUUAGCAUGGAAUAAUGAAAUAGGACGUUCGAUCCUAUUUUGUUGGUUUCUAGGAUUGACGUAAUGAUUAAUAGGGAUAGUUGGGGGCAUUAGUAUUCAAUUGUCAGAGGUGAAAUUCUUGGAUUUAUUGAAGACUAACUACUGCGAAAGCAUUUGCCAAGGAUGUUUUCAUUAACCAAGAACGAAAGUUAGGGGAUCGAAGACGAUCAGAUACCGUCGUAGUCUUAACCAUAAACUAUGCCGACUAGGGGUCGGAUGAUGUUAAUUUUUUAAUGACUCA